RNAcentral lists this transfer RNA (74 nucleotides) under Buchnera aphidicola (Thelaxes californica). It matches the Rfam family "tRNA". Rfam says of the family: Transfer RNA (tRNA) molecules are approximately 80 nucleotides in length. Their secondary structure includes four short double-helical elements and three loops (D, anti-codon, and T loops). Further hydrogen bonds mediate the characteristic L-shaped molecular structure. tRNAs have two regions of fundamental functional importance: the anti-codon, which is responsible for specific mRNA codon recognition, and the 3' end, to which the tRNAs corresponding amino acid is attached (by aminoacyl-tRNA synthetases). tRNAs cope with the degeneracy of the genetic code in two manners: having more than one tRNA (with a specific anti-codon) for a particular amino acid; and 'wobble' base-pairing, i.e. permitting non-standard base-pairing at the 3rd anti-codon position. Lineage: Bacteria; Pseudomonadati; Pseudomonadota; Gammaproteobacteria; Enterobacterales; Erwiniaceae. The record is from Rfam by way of RNAcentral.
GCGCUUGUAGCUCAGUUGGAUAGAGUGCUACCUACCGAAGGUAGAAGUCUCAGGUUCGAUUCCUGACAAGCGCA